GUCCAUUGGAAUCCAGUUUCUAGAACAUGUUAGCUGUGUGCUGUCACAUGGCCUGCUACUGUUCCCACUAACAUCUUGGGAUGGUUUUCACCUUUCUUUGUGGGUGUUUAGCAGUUGGUUUGUCUUAUGGGUUGAACAUAUUCUGAUGAAGAAGUGAUCUCACCAUGGGAGCAUUUCUAGAUAAGCCAAAAACAGAGAAGCACAAUGAGCAUGGUGGGGGAAAUGGCCUUAGGUAUGGACUCUCCAGCAUGCAAGGCUGGAGGAUUGAGAUGGAGGAUGCUCAUGCUGCUGUAGCCAACUUACCCGGUGAUCUCAAGGACUGGGCUUUCUUUGCAGUGUUUGAUGGUCAUGCAGGAGCAAGAGUUUCUGCCCACUGCUCAGAACACCUCUUGAAUUCUAUAACGUCAGGGGAGGAAUUUCAACCACAGUCGAUAGCGAAAUUAGCAGAGGAAAAUGAAGAAACGACCAUAAACACCAUAAAAAAAGGCAUUCAUGCAGGUUUUCUGAGGUUAGAUGAGUCUAUGCGGCAAAUGCCUGAGGUGGCCAGUGGAGAAGACAAGAGUGGAACAACUGCAGUCUGUGCUCUCAUAUCACCAACACACAUCUUUGUGGCAAAUUGCGGAGACUCGCGGGCAGUUUUAUACCGAGGAGGCAAAAUUGGCUUCAGCACACAAGAUCAUAAACCUGUGAACCCAGUAGAGAAGGAGAGGAUCCAGAAUGCAGGCGGAUCAGUGAUGAUUCAGAGAGUUAACGGAUCCCUUGCUGUCUCACGAGCACUUGGAGAUUAUGAGUACAAAAAUGUGGAGGGUAAAGGACCAUGUGAGCAGCUGGUGUCCCCAGAACCUGAAAUAUACGUAGAGCGCCGCCAGAGUGAUGAUGAGUUCUUGGUAUUGGCCUGUGACGGAGUAUGGGAUGUCAUGACCAAUGAAGACCUCUGUGCUUUCGUGCGGUCCCGUCUUCUCCUAUCCGAUGAUCUGGAAUCCAUAGCUAACCAUGUUGUAGACACCUGUCUUUACAAGGGAAGUCGUGACAACAUGAGUAUAGUGCUGUUAACACUCCCAGGGGCCCCUAAGGUAUCUGAAGAGGCUAUUAAAAAGGAAAAAGAAAUGGAAGAUAUAAUAGAGAAAAAGGUUGCGGAGGUGUGUGCACAGGAGGGACCAGUGAGCAUGCCACAGAUAAUGUCAGUGCUAGCUGAAGAAUAUAUCCCAGGCCUUCCUCCAGGUGGAGGUCAUCCUGCAAAGCGAGGCUUUGUGGAGCAGAUAUUCAGAAAGUUGCGACCUGACUGUGCAAAUGCAGAGAGCAUGGAUGAGAUGGGGGAGGAUGGACUGAGUGGUAAUUUGAUGUUCUUCCCGAGUCCAUCAAUGCGUGACAAGAUAACCUCCAUUUUCGAAAACUCGUCCCUUGAUGAUGACGCUUGAUGAUGAUGAUGAUCAUGAUCAUGAUGAAGGGUUCUGGGUUGGGUUUAGGGGCAGAAGGAGAAUGAUGCCUACAGUAUUGAGAGAUACACCUAGGGUUCUGUAACAACGCAACCCCUCCCCCCCACCCAGCGAUAAAAACACAAACCCUCAAAAUGUUGAUGUGCUGAUGAUACAGUUUAUGCAAGUGUGCAGAAGCAUUCAACAAAUAUGUCAAGAUUAGGAAUUCUGUGCCUUAGGUAUAACAUCAGUAAGAUUCAUCUUUUUUUUUUUUCUUUUUUUUUUUUUUACUCCUUUUUUGUAUCUGUAUUCUCUCUCUCUCUCUAUCUCUCUCUCUCUCAAAGCUGUGACUAUAAAAAGUGAUCAUUCCUGGUACUCAGCCUAAGGUUCGCGAGUUGCUGAUCUUGCCACAAAUAUUUUUGCAGUCAGAUGUGCUAGUUUCAUAUGUGAUAGUCCCGAUGCUUUCGCCUUCCAGACUCGUAACCUUGCUCUCGAGUUGUCAUGUCGCUCAACACCAACAGACAGUUAAGUUUUGAGGACAGUAGAUGAUGGGAUUACCUUUUUAGAGAUCUUUCUUUUUUCUUUCUUUUUUUUAAUCAUUAGUGAUUGUGAUAACUUGUGAAAAUGAUAAUUAAGAGAAGAGAGAUGCACAGAUAUUGAGUUUCAUCCAUAUUCCGAUUAACAAAGUCUCUCUGCACAUUGGUAGCUCGAGGGUGACUACUUGUUUCUGGAAGGAGAGUGUGUGAAAGAAUGUAAUGAAGAUAUGUUAAUACAGUUAAUAAUAAUGAUAAGUUUUA
RNAcentral lists this unclassified non-coding RNA (2212 nucleotides) under Penaeus japonicus. RNAcentral describes it as "protein phosphatase 1B-like, transcript variant X2". Lineage: Eukaryota; Metazoa; Arthropoda; Malacostraca; Decapoda; Penaeidae. The record is from RNAcentral.